Long non-coding RNA from Cotesia glomerata, 692 nucleotides. RefSeq lists it as uncharacterized. The transcript has 3 exons. NCBI's taxonomy places the organism in Eukaryota, Metazoa, Arthropoda, Insecta, Hymenoptera, Braconidae. The record is from RefSeq and is a predicted model, not a curated record.
GUGAAAAUUAAAAAAAAUUAUUUGGAGAAAUUUUGGUUUGCUGGAGCAGAAGGGGGACAAAUCAGUAAAUGGUCCCAGUGGAUAAGAGUUAUGAUGACAAUGGUGAUAUUCGGUGAUGAAAAACAAAAAGGAAGACUGGUGUUCUCAACCUGGAGAAUGGAAACUUAAAGUUUUAUUUACGAGACCCACAUAAUCGAGAAACCGGCAGCCGCAUUCCUCUGUACGGACACAGUACUUGGAUAAAGACAAUUUGUGAGAAGUGGGUAGAUAAAAGAGGAAGGACGAAAGAUAAGAGCAGUAGAUGAGACAAGAAUGGAACUGAAGAGAGCUCCAAGCUAGAAGUUAAGACAAGAACUUUCGAAGAACUAUUAUAUAUAAGUCGUUCAUUACUCUUGCGCUUCUGGAUAUAUCUUAUUUUGUAACUAAAAGUCUGAUGAACUCUCUUUACUUUUAUUUUUAAUGGAAAAUUUUACUUUUAAGUUUUCUUGCUAGGAUUUUAAAGAUUAAAAUGUUUUAUUGAAAUUCUUUGAAGAAGUGAAGCAUAAAAGUCGAGGAAAACAGAACUUGAAUGCGGCAGAUCAAAGAAAGAGAUAAAAUUUAAUGUUGAAUUUAACAGAAAAUGAUCUUUGUUAAAAAUUCAAUUUUAAAAUCAACAAAAAAAUAAAUUAUGUUAAAAUAGUAUGAAUAAAUUG